Molecule: long non-coding RNA, 132 nt
Organism: Dermochelys coriacea (leatherback sea turtle)
Lineage: Eukaryota; Metazoa; Chordata; Testudines; Dermochelyidae
Exons: 3
Source: RefSeq, a predicted model, not a curated record
UACCCUCUCCACACACAAGAUUAAUAUUAGAUCAUAAAAAUACCGUAAAGGUGCAUCUGUCUCCGACAUGUGUCUUAACCACAGGAUACAGGUUGUGUGUGAAUGCUAAUGAAAAUAAAGGGAACUUACACA